CAUGGGUGUGGAUCCAUCAUGAAUAAAUUAAUGCCUUUGCUGUUGGUGGGGGCAGGGAGCAUGGUACAGGGGUGACUGAGUUCCUGCUUUGUUAGUUCCCACUGAAACUGAUUGACAAAAAGGGCCUGGCACCUCUCUCUUCUCUCUCUUUCUCUCUCUCACCAUGUGAUCUAUGCAUGCCUGUUCCCGUCUGCUUGCACUAAGAAUGGAAACAGCCUAAGUUCCUCACCAGAAGCAGAGGCUGGCACCAUGUUUGUUAUGCAGCCUGCAGAACCAGAAAUCAUGGGAAAAACUGCCCAUUUCUGUUUUGUCCACUUUGCUUUGGGAAGUGAGAGCUAUAGUCAUUAUCACCACAUCCCCUGGCAUCCAAUUCCGAUUAAUAAUUCAAUUCCAGCUUUCCUGGAAGCCAGAAGUCAAAAUAUACUUGGGAUUUCUAUAAAUAUUUUUUAAUUAUGACCAUCGAACUCCAAGUACUUCAGAUUUGGAACUCGGACUGCUUUCCUUGCUCCUCAGCCUGCAGAUGGCCUAUUGUGGGACCUUGUGAUUAUGUAGUGAGACGAGCAUGAGUGGAGCAGGAGACGGCUGUCCCCCACCCACAAGGAAUAUCAGAUGAUGGUUCAGCGAUCAUCACAUUGCCUCUCUGAAAGUGAUAAAUUGGCAGCUGGCACCAGGGAGAGGCUAUUUCCUGAUGGCCCACACCUGUUGCACUAAGAUGUUAAUCGAAUGCAGAUUCCAGGGAGAAACAACUUCCUGGGCAUGUGCGUAAGAGACAAAAUGGCAGGUAUGACCUUCUGGGGACACUCCACCAGAAAAGGGAAGAAAACCUCAGAUGGGCAUGCAUAUAACUUCCUAAACACACUGCUCACACUCUCCUCCCAAGGGUAAGGAGGGCACUGCACAUGCAGGCAGCCCAUCCUAAGGGAAGCAUCCUGGGAAAGGGGUCAGUCUAUAUGGUUCUGGGAUCAAGAUUAAACACCACAUUAGACCUUCAAGUUGCCCACUUGGGUCUCUUCUAUGUGUAUUUUUCUUUCCUUUCUUUUCUGCUCUAAAGCUUUUUUAAAUAAACAUACACAUCCCUCCUCUGAAACUUGCCUUGGUCUCUUUUUCUGCCAUAUGCAACUCAGUCAAAUUAUUUCUUCUGAGGAGGAAAAAAUUGAGGUAGCUGCAUUCCCAUACAGAUUCACCAUCGGUAACUCAGAUACCUUCUACUGGCCAUAUGUUUGGUGUUCUAUUCAAGAAAUAAUUGCUAAAGCCAAUGUCUUAAAGUGUUUUUCUUAUGUUUUUCUUCUAAGAGUUUUACAGUUUCAGGUCUUACACUUAAGUAUUUAAUUAAUUUGAGUUGAUUUUAUGCAUGGUGUAGGAUGUGUGUAAUAUUCAGUUUUUCUAACACUAUUUGUUGAAGAGACUAUUCUUUUUCCACUGUGUAUCCUUAGAAGCAUUGCUGAAGUGUUGUUG
Molecule: long non-coding RNA, 1455 nt
Filed under: Homo sapiens (human)
Lineage: Eukaryota; Metazoa; Chordata; Mammalia; Primates; Hominidae
Description: HSALNT0073015
Source: RNAcentral